CGUGCCAGCAGCCGCGGUAAUACGUAUGUCGCAAGCGUUAUCCGGAAUUAUUGGGCAUAAAGGGCAUCUAGGCGGCCAGACAAGUCUGGGGUGAAAACUUGCGGCUCAACCGCAAGCCUGCCCUGGAAACUGUUUGGCUAGAGUGCUGGAGAGGUGGACGGAACUGCACGAGUAGAGGUGAAAUUCGUAGAUAUGUGCAGGAAUGCCGAUGAUGAAGAUAGUUCGCUGGACGGUAACUGACGCUGAAGUGCGAAAGCUGGGGGAGCGAACAGGAUUAGAUACCCUGGUAGUCCACGCCGUAAACGAUGA
This 309-nucleotide ribosomal RNA is filed under the name uncultured bacterium. RNAcentral's name for it is "bacterial SSU rRNA". It matches the Rfam family "Bacterial small subunit ribosomal RNA", at positions 504 to 812 of the family's 1533-position model. The record is from RNAcentral.